Maylandia zebra (zebra mbuna) is the source of this 578-nucleotide long non-coding RNA. RefSeq lists it as uncharacterized. NCBI's taxonomy places the organism in Eukaryota, Metazoa, Chordata, Actinopteri, Cichliformes, Cichlidae. The record is from RefSeq and is a predicted model, not a curated record.
CUUACCCUUUUCCUCUUGUCGUCUCAGUCGGAUCACGAAAAAUCCACACCCAACCCUGCAAUAACCUCUCACGCCUGGUUGCUGGUCUCCUCUGCUCACUCACAGCCAGUAACAUUUCUUUGCCUGCUCUCCUGCCUCACCUGCCUGCCUGCCUCCCUGCUCCUCUGUUUUGAAAACCUGGGAAAAUUCUCGAUUGGACUCACCCAGGCCUCUACCUCACGUCCUCCCCAUCCUGCAUCACUUCACCUGCAUACAAACCCUCCCGAGCUCUCUGAUGUUCCGCAUCUCUGCUGAUCAGCAGCGCAUCAGCUUUCUGGGAGGAGGCGACGCCUUUGAUUCGCCGCUUGACUGAAUGAAUCCCCAAAAACCAGACCCCGCUGAGUGGCGAGGGCCCGGCCCGACUCGCAGUGACCCACCGCGCACAGCAGGAGGCAGCAGCUCGUGUUACAGCAGCCAAGUGUGCAGACCUCUCAGCAGUCACACAUUUUACUGACAUGAAACGGAGAGAAGCAGAAUUCAUUCAUGUUUCUGUAGUUUUAGACUUUUAUGGUGUUUAUAAUAAAUGUUUCAGAGGUUCA